Molecule: ribosomal RNA, 235 nt
Filed under: uncultured bacterium
Lineage: Bacteria
Description: partial 16S ribosomal RNA
Rfam family: Bacterial small subunit ribosomal RNA
Source: RNAcentral
UGAGCAAUCUGCCCUUCUCUUCGGAAUAAGCGUUGGAAACGACGUCUAAUGCCGAAUACGACCUCCUUUCGCAUGAUCGGAGGUGGAAAGCUCCGGCGGAGAAGGAUGAGCUCGCGGCCUAUCAGCUAGUUGGUGUGGGUAAUGGCCCACCAAGGCGACGACGGGUAGCCGGCCUGAGAGGGUGACCGGCCACACUGGGACUGAGACACGGCCCAGACCUCCGUACGGGAGGAGC